UACGAAGGGGGCUAGCGUUGCUCGGAAUCACUGGGCGUAAAGAGCUCGUAGGCGGUCUGUCGCGUCGGCUGUGAAAACUCGGGGCUCAACUCCGAGCUUGCAGUCGAUACGGGCAGGCUAGAGUUCGGCAGGGGAGACUGGAAUUCCUGGUGUAGCGGUGAAAUGCGCAGAUAUCAGGAGGAACACCGGUGGCGAAGGCGGGUCUCUGGGCCGAUACUGACGCUGAGGAGCGAAAGCGUGGGGAGCGAACAGG
This 253-nucleotide ribosomal RNA is filed under the name uncultured bacterium. RNAcentral's name for it is "partial 16S ribosomal RNA". It matches the Rfam family "Bacterial small subunit ribosomal RNA", at positions 524 to 776 of the family's 1533-position model. The record is from RNAcentral.